Acanthosepion pharaonis is the source of this 112-nucleotide non-coding RNA. NCBI's taxonomy places the organism in Eukaryota, Metazoa, Mollusca, Cephalopoda, Sepiida, Sepiidae. The record is from the annotation of a GenBank genome assembly.
UACGACUAUAUCACGUUGAAGCAUAGGUUCUUGCACGAUCACCGAAGUUAAGCAACGUCGUGCCUGGUCAGUACCUAGAUAGAUGACUGCUUUGGAAUAUCAGGUGCUGUAA